RNAcentral lists this ribosomal RNA (520 nucleotides) under uncultured Scutellospora. RNAcentral describes it as "SSU rRNA". It matches the Rfam family "Eukaryotic small subunit ribosomal RNA", at positions 569 to 1096 of the family's 1831-position model. Lineage: Eukaryota; Fungi; Glomeromycota; Glomeromycetes; Diversisporales; Gigasporaceae. The record is from RNAcentral.
AGCAGCCGCGGUAAUUCCAGCUCCAAUAGCGUAUAUUAAAGUUGUUGCAGUUAAAAAGCUCGUAGUUGAAUUUCGGGGUUCUACCGUUGGUCGGGCUUUGUCUGUACUGAUGUGUAGAAUUUCUACCUUCUGGGGAACCAUCAUGUUAUUAAUUUAGCGUGGUGGGAAACCAGGACCUUUACCUUGAAAAAUUAGAGUGUUCAAAGCAGGCUUAUGUCUGAAUACAUUAGCAUGGAAUAAUAGAAUAGGACGGUGGUCCUGUUUUGUUGGUUUCUGAAUCACCGUAAUGAUUAAUAGGGAUAGUUGGGGGCAUUAGUAUUCAAUUGUCAGAGGUGAAACUCUUGGAUUUAUUGAAGACUAACUACUGCGAAAGCAUUUGCCAAGGAUGUUUUCAUUAAUCAAGAACGAAAGUUAGGGAUCGAAGACGAUCAGAUACCGUCGUAGUCUUAACCAUAAACUAUGCCGACUAGGGAUCGGAUGAUGUUAAUUUUUUAAUGACUCAUUCGGCGCCUUACGGGGA